Molecule: long non-coding RNA, 287 nt
Organism: Amphimedon queenslandica
Lineage: Eukaryota; Metazoa; Porifera; Demospongiae; Haplosclerida; Niphatidae
Exons: 3
Source: RefSeq, a predicted model, not a curated record
AUAUCAUACUUUGCCAGGCUAAGAAUUUCUUUUGUGCUGCAUUGGAAUACUCAAAGUUUGGAUCUAUAAAAGGUAGCCACUUUGCAAAAAUGAAAAUCCAUCCUCAAUUGAUGUAAUAAUCUCUGACUUCAUGCUUCUAAGAAUAAAAGAGUGUUUCUCACACUACACAAAUCAUCAGCAUUUGGAUUGUAAAUAAUGUAGUGUGAGAGCUCCAUAAGUACAUGAUCUUGCUGCAGUAAAGUAAUUAUUAUAAUUAAUUUUAUUAUUAUUGAAAAAAAAUUAGUUAU